AUGGCGGCGGCUCAGCAGGUCAUGGCAGCACCCGUUCAUGACAAUAACAAUUGCUCAAAGGAGGAGAAGAACCGUGGCAUCACCCAAGACAUGCCCUUCACCGAGGCGGAGGAACAAGCUCCUGAUGCAAAGGUGCGUGACAACGGCGACUCCAAGGACGAGGAGGUCACGAUCGCGGUUGAUACCGAUGAGGGGCGAGGCUUAGCACAGGAAGUCGAAGCCAAGCUCGUCGUCGAGCCUGCAGAAGGUGGAGCAAAGGAAACCAAGGAAGGAAGGCCCCGCGUGGCGAAGAGGACUGAGAAAGCGGCCGCCAAGGGGGCGGUCGUCCCCGUCGACGACCACACUGAUGAUGAGGCUGCUGAGCCGAAAGGGGCAAAGAAGGCCCAGAAAGCGGCGGCCAAGUGGGCGGUAGUCCCCAUCGACGACGACACUGAAGAUGAGGCCGCUGCGCCGGGGGCAGCGCAUGUUGCUCCUGAGGAGGCGGCGGAGGCAGCUGGCGAGGAAGCGGGCGAAGGUGGCGCGAAAUGUGAGGAGAAGGCUCACGAGGAAUAG
RNAcentral lists this ribosomal RNA (552 nucleotides) under Triticum aestivum (bread wheat). RNAcentral describes it as "partial small subunit ribosomal RNA". The record is from RNAcentral. Lineage: Eukaryota; Viridiplantae; Streptophyta; Magnoliopsida; Poales; Poaceae.